This 1377-nucleotide ribosomal RNA is filed under the name Triticum aestivum (bread wheat). RNAcentral describes it as "partial small subunit ribosomal RNA". Lineage: Eukaryota; Viridiplantae; Streptophyta; Magnoliopsida; Poales; Poaceae. The record is from RNAcentral.
AUGGUACCACUCUCCUACGCGCCACCGCUACCGCCGCCGCAGUCGCGACCGAACCCCAGCCCUAGCCACAAGCCCAAGCCCCAGCCGUGCGUGCUUCUCUUCCCCGCCGCCCUCCGCACGGCGGCCGCGGCGGCCGCCAUCUCCUUCUCCCUCCUCGCGGGCAACGCCGCGGCUGUGGCGCCGGUGGAGCAGCCCCCGGAGAUAUGCCGCGGCCAGGACGACGGGAGGGAGGUGGAGGUGAAGGCCGAGGCGGUGACGAACGAGCAGCUCGUGGAGGAGGCGUGGGAGGUGGUCAACGAGGGCUUCCUCCCCGACGCCGGCAGCCGCCCGUGGUCACCGGAGCUGUGGAUGCAACGGAAGCAAGAUAUUCUUCAAGGCUCAAUCAAAUCCCGCUCUAGAGCCCACGACAUCAUCACGAAAAUGCUAGCUAGCCUGGGUGAUCCAUAUACAAGAUUCCUGUCGUCCUCAGAUUUCUCAAAGAUGUCAAAGUAUGACAUGACUGGUAUUGGGUUGAACUUACGAGAGAUUCCUGAUGACAAUGGUUCUUUAAGAUUGGUGGUAUUAGGACUGAUACUAGAUGGGCCUGCUCACUCUGCUGGUGUUAGACAGGGUGAUGAGCUUAUGUCUGUCAAUGGUAUCGAUGUAAGAGGUAAAUCUGCAUUUGACGUGUCAUCGAUGCUGCAAGGCCCAAAGGAAACUUUUGUUACAAUUAAGGUUAAGCAUGGCAACUGUGGUCCUGUUGAGUCAAUGAAAGUGCAAAGACAGAUGGCUGCUCGCACUCCAAUUUUCUAUCGUUUGGAGAAAAGAGACAAUGAGAAUUCAUCUGUCGGAUAUAUUCACAUUAAAGAGUUCAAUGCAGUGGCCAAAAAAGAUUUGGUCAGCGCACUGAAACGUCUACAGAAUUCAGGUGCCUCCUAUUUUGUUUUGGACCUGAGGGACAAUCUUGGUGGACUAGUGCAAGCUGGAAUAGAGAUUGCAAAGCUCUUCUUGAACAAAGGAGACACGGUCAUUUAUACUACUGGCCGGGAUCGUCAAGUCCAAAAUACAAUUGUUGCUGACAGUGGACCUUUGGUUACAACUCCUGUGAUGGUACUGGUGAACAAUAGGACAGCGAGUGCCAGCGAAAUAGUUGCUUCAGCACUUCAUGACAAUUGCAAAGCCGUUCUUGUUGGCGAAAGGACUUUUGGCAAGGGCUUAAUCCAGUCUGUAUUUGAACUUCAUGAUGGUUCUGGUAUUGUCGUCACAGUUGGCAAAUAUGUCACGCCAAAUCACAAAGACAUCAAUGGAGAUGGAAUAGAACCAGACUACCGCCGUCUUCCUGAUCUCAAUGAAGCCAGAGAUUAUCUUAUGCGUUGCCAAAGCAAGAAAUUAAAUUGA